GAUGAACGCUAGCGGCAGGCUUAAUACAUGCAAGUCGAGGGGCAGCGGGAGUAGCAAUACUUGCCGGCGACCGGCGCACGGGUGCGUAACACGUAUGUAAUCUGCCCAUCACAGGAGGAUAGCCCGGAGAAAUUCGGAUUAAUACUCCAUAAUAGAAGAUAAAGCAUUUUAUUUCUUGAAAGUUCCGACGGUGAUGGAUGAACAUGCGACUGAUUAGUUUGUUGGUGAGGUAACGGCUCACCAAGACUACGAUCAGUAGGGGUACUGAGAGGUUAAACCCCCACACUGGUACUGAGACACGGACCAGACUCCUACGGGAGGCAGCAGUAAGGAAUAUUGGACAAUGGCCGCAAGGCUGAUCCAGCCAUGCCGCGUGCAGGAAGACGGACCUAUGGUUUGUAAACUGC
Molecule: ribosomal RNA, 407 nt
Filed under: uncultured bacterium
Lineage: Bacteria
Description: bacterial SSU rRNA
Rfam family: Bacterial small subunit ribosomal RNA
Source: RNAcentral